Molecule: long non-coding RNA, 848 nt
Filed under: Capra hircus (goat)
Lineage: Eukaryota; Metazoa; Chordata; Mammalia; Artiodactyla; Bovidae
Description: lncRNA (ENSCHIG00010001265.1)
Source: RNAcentral
AUCAAACCUGAGUCCCCUGCAUUGGAAGGCAGAUUCUUAAUCCCUGGACUACCAAGGAAGCCCCGAGAAUUGUUUCGAAAAUUAAAUGAGGAAAUCUGUGUGGUGGGUAUAACAUGGGACCUGCCCCAAAGUGAGCACUCAAAACACCUUUGACAGCAGGACUGGCGCGAGGUGUUUGGGCGUCGCUGAUCCUGGGGGCGCUACAGGUUAGCGCUGUGGAAGGCCGGUGUAGACCAAGCAGGCCCAGUGGGUCUCCAGGCACAAGGAAGGUCUAGAAAACUCCAGUGCUAACCCAACAGGGAAGACCCCAGGAUGCACGUGGAUCUUCCAACUGCACUGUGAAACCAACAACUCCAGUUUCCUCCUCCGUUUCCAAGAAUGGGACAGUCACCAGCUGGAAACCUAUAGCAGUCUUUAAAAUGACAACAUCCGAGAUCUCAGUAGAUACGACUUCCAUCACCUUAGAGCCUACAAUCCAACCAUAGGUGAACAGGGUGUGCCAAUAAGUAAAAGUUCAUCAGAAUAGAGAAGGGAUCGUUUUUUGGAAGAGGGAACUUUGAAAGAAGAAAACAAACACACACUUUGUCAAUCUCUUGAAAAUUGAGGAUGUUGUUCUUCCUGUCAGUUGCAGCUACUUCUUUAUUCUGAGACAUCCGUUUCUGUACAGCUUGUUCAGUUUCCUAGGCUUUGACACUUGUAGGUCUGGAAUGUGGAAGUACCCUGAAUGAUGAUGACGAUUUAGCAGCUUGAGACAAACUUUUGAUGAAGUGUCACGUCAACUUCUAUGCCUCUUUGAGUAUACAUUUUCUCAUAUGAUAACUUUCAACUUUGGAGGAGAAGCUUAGAUU